UACGUAGGGUGCAAGCGUUGUUCGGAAUUAUUGGGCGUAAAGCGUGCGUAGGCGGAUUGAUAAGUCAGAUGUGAAAUCCCGUGGCUUAACUGCGGAAUUGCGUUUGAAACUAUCAGUCUUGAGGGUGGAAGAGGUGGAUGGAAUUCCUAGUGUAGAGGUGAAAUUCGUAGAUAUUAGGAGGAACACUCGUGGCGAAGGCGGUUCACUGGUCCACUCCUGACGCUGAGGCACGAAAGCAUGGGUAGCAAACAGG
RNAcentral lists this ribosomal RNA (253 nucleotides) under uncultured bacterium. RNAcentral describes it as "partial 16S ribosomal RNA". It matches the Rfam family "Bacterial small subunit ribosomal RNA", at positions 524 to 776 of the family's 1533-position model. The record is from RNAcentral.